AUGGCCUGGGAUUUGUUUUUCCUUACACUUCUCACCUACUGUGCAGGUUCCAGUUUGCAGGCAACGCUGACUCAGCCUCCCACGGCGUCUGUGUCUCUGGGCCAAACAGUUAAACUCUCCUGUUCCGGAAGCAGUGAUGGGAGCUGGCUCGGCUUCUCCUGGUAUCAGCAGAAACCUGGUCAGGCCCCUCGUUUUGUGCACUGUAGUGUUUGCAGCAGCGGAGAAGAAGGGAUCCUGGACAGGUUCAAUGCUUCUGAGUCCGGGGACACUGGCUCUUUAACCAUCAGUAAUGUCCAGGCUGAAGAUGAGGCUGAUUAUUAUUGUGCUUGUGUAGAGCUCAGUAGUGGUUGGGAGUUCCACAGUGAACUAAACUGCUUUGAAGUGCUUGCCAUGGCCUGGGCUCUGAUAUCCCUGGCACUCCUCAGUUAUUGUGCAGGUCUCAGUUUACAGGUGAGUGUGACUCAGCCUGCAUCAGCGUCUGUGUCCCUGGGCCAAACCAUUAAACUUUCCUGCACUAGAAGUGGUGUUGGUGGUAGCUGGGGAAAUGACUACUCCUGGUAUCAACAGAGAACUGGACAGGUUCCUCGCUUCCUGUGGUAUGGUAGCAGCACCAGGGGUGAAGGGGUCCCGGAUCGGUUCACUGGUUCUUACUCUGGGAACACGGGCCAUUUAACCAUCACCAACAUCCAGGCUGAAGAUGAGGCUGAUUAUUACUGUUGCGAAACUCAUAACCCUGGUAGUGGUUGGACGUUGCACAGUGGUGGAACCAAAUGA
Hemicordylus capensis (graceful crag lizard) is the source of this 774-nucleotide non-coding RNA. Lineage: Eukaryota; Metazoa; Chordata; Lepidosauria; Squamata; Cordylidae. The record is from the annotation of a RefSeq genome assembly.